Molecule: ribosomal RNA, 400 nt
Filed under: uncultured bacterium
Lineage: Bacteria
Description: bacterial SSU rRNA
Rfam family: Bacterial small subunit ribosomal RNA
Source: RNAcentral
GGGGAAUAUUGCACAAUGGGGGAAACCCUGAUGCAGCGACGCCGCGUGAAGGAUGAAGUAUUUCGGUAUGUAAACUUCUAUCAGCAGGGAAGAAAAUGACGGUACCUGACUAAGAAGCCCCGGCUAACUACGUGCCAGCAGCCGCGGUAAUACGUAGGGGGCAAGCGUUAUCCGGAUUUACUGGGUGUAAAGGGAGCGUAGACGGUAUGGCAAGUCUGAUGUGAAAGGCCAGGGCUCAACCCUGGGACUGCAUUGGAAACUGUCGAACUAGAGUGUCGGAGAGGCAAGUGGAAUUCCUAGUGUAGCGGUGAAAUGCGUAGAUAUUAGGAGGAACACCAGUGGCGAAGGCGGCUUGCUGGACGAUGACUGACGUUGAGGCUCGAAAGCGUGGGGAGCAAAC